UAGGGAAUCUUCCACAAUGGACGCAAGUCUGAUGGAGCAACGUCGCGUGAGUGAAGAAGGGUUUCGGCUCGUAAAGCUCUGUUGUUAAAGAAGAACGUGGGUAAGAGUAACUGUUUACCCAGUGACGGUAUUUAACCAGAAAGCCACGGCUAACUACGUGCC
This 162-nucleotide ribosomal RNA is filed under the name uncultured bacterium. RNAcentral describes it as "partial 16S rRNA". It matches the Rfam family "Bacterial small subunit ribosomal RNA", at positions 355 to 509 of the family's 1533-position model. The record is from RNAcentral.